CACAAUUGUUUCCAAUAUGUUCUAAUGACAUAAUUAAUAUUAUAGGUGACUGAGAAUCUUCCAGAAGUAAUGAUGCAUGGAGAUUGGUGUGUUUGGAGCCAAAUCUAUCCAAAGAUGCAUUUUUGGAUGAAAAGUAGAGAGCCUCCUCUGAAGUUAGGAACACAGACAGUCUCAGGCGAGUUGUCUCCAGCAUGA
This 195-nucleotide long non-coding RNA is filed under the name Delphinapterus leucas (beluga whale). RNAcentral describes it as "lncRNA (ENSDLEG00000010564.1)". The record is from RNAcentral. Lineage: Eukaryota; Metazoa; Chordata; Mammalia; Artiodactyla; Monodontidae.